AUGAAACACUCCUACGGGAGGCAGCAGUGGGGAAUUUUGGACAAUGGGGGCAACCCUGAUCCAGCAAUGCCGCGUGAGUGAAGAAGGCCUUCGGGUUGUAAGGCUCUUUUGUCAGGGAAGAAACGGUAGUAGCUAAUAUCUAUUACUAAUGACGGUACCUGAAGAAUAAGCACCGGCUAACUACGUGCCAGCAGCCGCGGUAAUACGUAGGGUGCGAGCGUUAAUCGGAAUUACUGGGCGUAAAGCGGGCGCAGACGGUUACUUAAGCAGGAUGUGAAAUCCCCGGGCUCAACCUGGGAACUGCGUUCUGAACUGGGUGACUAGAGUGUGUCAGAGGGAGGUAGAAUUCCACGUGUAGCAGUGAAAUGCGUAGAGAUGUGGAGGAAUACCGAUGGCGAAGGCAGCCUCCUGGGAUAACACUGACGUUCAUGCCCGAAAGCGUGGGUAGCAAACAGGAUUAGAUACCCUAGUAGUCCGAAGUUC
This 483-nucleotide ribosomal RNA is filed under the name uncultured bacterium. RNAcentral's name for it is "bacterial SSU rRNA". It matches the Rfam family "Bacterial small subunit ribosomal RNA", at positions 328 to 802 of the family's 1533-position model. The record is from RNAcentral.